Molecule: microRNA precursor, 104 nt
Filed under: Paramuricea clavata
Lineage: Eukaryota; Metazoa; Cnidaria; Anthozoa; Malacalcyonacea; Plexauridae
Source: RNAcentral
UAACGCUCGCGCUCUGUCCGCAAAUCCUUUGAUGAUGCCUUUUUUCAUGAUGAAAAAAGGCAUCAUCAAAGGAUUUGCGGACAGAGCGCGAGCGUUAUUUUUGA